CAUAAAUCACACUGCAAGCUGAACUAGUUGCUUCCAGACCCUCCAUAAUAAAUAGAUUUCAGCAGUCGUAGCAAAGAAAAUCUUCAGUUCGGAGGCCCUUCAGCACCUGGCGUGGAUGGUCUCAGACUUGGGGACCCUGUACUGUUAAGCGGACUCUUCGAUGGCAGAGAGAGGAGAGAGAGAGCUCUUUGCUGAAGCUAUAGUAGAGCUAAGUGAACUUGGGUGAGGCCUCUUCUAGCCAGUCAGUAAAUAAAACUGACAUUACUAUAGCUGGGUGACGUGGUGGAACCUCAGUCAGGAAGGGACCAGGCAGCACUUCCCAAGGGGCUGGAGACAGUGCCUGUCAAAGUCUGGGACUUGCGACAAACUGACAGCAACCCACAAGUGGGGUUUAGUGGAUGGUGAGGGAGAAGGGAUGCAGUAAAAUAAAGGAUAUUUGUCUAUUGGACUUUCACACUGAAAUGUGAAGAACGGAGUUAAUGCACUUGCAAA
Mauremys reevesii (Reeves's turtle) is the source of this 492-nucleotide long non-coding RNA. RefSeq lists it as uncharacterized. Lineage: Eukaryota; Metazoa; Chordata; Testudines; Geoemydidae. The transcript is spliced from 2 exons. The record is from RefSeq and is a predicted model, not a curated record.